UUUUCCUUCUAUUUUUUUGUUUCUGUUUUUUUUUAACUUUUGCAGGGGUGAAGUGUGGGAACACUCAACUGAAUAUGGGUCAUGUGCCAGUUUUCUGCAAUGGAAUUGGAUUUUGGAAGAAGGUCUGGGAUUUUUUUAGUCUUCGUGAGAGGGGAGCUGGGAGACACCAAGUUCCGUCCAAUCAGUCAUAUGGACAAAAAA
This 201-nucleotide long non-coding RNA is filed under the name Phoenix dactylifera (date palm). RNAcentral's name for it is "long non-coding RNA (PDAC_LNC007879)". Lineage: Eukaryota; Viridiplantae; Streptophyta; Magnoliopsida; Arecales; Arecaceae. The record is from RNAcentral.